GGGACUGCCGCACACCAGCCCCCCACAUCCUUUGUGACUAUGUAGCUCAGAAUGGCUCCCUACAGCCUCACAGCCCAGAUUCCAGUAGAAACAAAGACUCUCAUAUAAAGCAGACAUGUAAGUGGGCUGAAUAUUGCUUUGUUCUCAUACAAGACCUUAACCUGGAAGAACGACUUAACUUAUGAAGCUCAGGGUUUACACCCCUCCUCACUCUCCUUUACGUUAGUGUCAUUUUAGAAGUUGGAACACAGAAAACAAUUAAAUUGCUUCCAGAAUUAUAAAGGAAAUAUACAUUCUUCCUUGUCUGUCUUGAAUUUAC
This 319-nucleotide long non-coding RNA is filed under the name Rattus norvegicus (Norway rat). Its description in RNAcentral is "long non-coding RNA NONRATT032188". Lineage: Eukaryota; Metazoa; Chordata; Mammalia; Rodentia; Muridae. The record is from RNAcentral.